Molecule: ribosomal RNA, 448 nt
Filed under: uncultured bacterium
Lineage: Bacteria
Description: bacterial SSU rRNA
Rfam family: Bacterial small subunit ribosomal RNA
Source: RNAcentral
CAUCCAGACUCCUACGGGAGGCAGCAGUGGGGGAUAUUGCACAAUGGGGGAAACCCUGAUGCAGCGACGCCGCGUGUAGGAAGAUGGUCCUCUGGAUUGUAAACUACUGUCCCCAGGGACGAAGAUGACGGUACCUGGGGAGGAAGCUCCGGCUAACUACGUGCCAGCAGCCGCGGUAAUACGUAGGGAGCGAGCGUUGUCCGGAAUUACUGGGUGUAAAGGGAGCGUAGGCGGGGAUGCAAGUUGGGUGUUAAAUCUACCGGCUCAACUGGUAGUCGCACUCAAAACUGCAGCUCUUGAGUGAAGUAGAGGCAGGCGGAAUUCCUAGUGUAGCGGUGAAAUGCGUAGAUAUUAGGAGGAACACCAGUGGCGAAGGCGGCUUACUGGACUGUAACUGACGUUGAGGCUCGAAAGCGUGGGGAGCAAACAGGAUUAGAUACCCUAGUAC